Molecule: non-coding RNA, 71 nt
Organism: Anaeramoeba flamelloides
Lineage: Eukaryota; Anaeramoebidae
Source: the annotation of a GenBank genome assembly
UCGGAUAUUGUCUAGUGGCAGUACGUUCGGUUCUCAUCCGAUUGGCCCGGGUUCGAUUCCCGGUAUCCGAA